UACAGAGGUCCCGAGCGUUGUUCGGAUUCAUUGGGCGUAAAGGGUGCGUAGGCGGUUUGCUAAGUUUGAUGUGAAAGCCCGGGGCUUAACCCUGGAAUGGCAUUGAAUACUGGCGAACUAGAGUACUGGAGAGGAAACUGGAAUUUACGGUGUAGCAGUGAAAUGCGUAGAGAUCGUAAGGAAGACCAGUGGCGAAGGCGAGUUUCUGGACAGUUACUGACGCUGAGGCACGAAGGCCAGGGGAGCAAACGGG
Molecule: ribosomal RNA, 253 nt
Filed under: uncultured bacterium
Lineage: Bacteria
Description: partial 16S ribosomal RNA
Rfam family: Bacterial small subunit ribosomal RNA
Source: RNAcentral